AUAAUUAGUAAAUACAAAAUAAAUAGGGUGAAAAAAAUGAGAAAAAAGAAUUACAUUAUCUUAGCGUAAACAGUUUCCAAGAGAAUUCUAAAGAUUAUCAACUUACCUAAAUCAUAUAACUGCUAAAGCCUAACAGAACGAAAAAAUAAGAAAAAAUAUUUGACUAACUAAUCACUCAAGCUGAAAGUGAUCACGGUUGGUGAAUGAUUAUCGCAGAAAGAUAUAACCCUUCGACGAAAACUAGGGACGCUGACAAAUGCUUCGUCGAAGCAAUUCUCGGAAAGUCUUGAAACGGCGUGGCAACAAUUUGCAUGUAAUGUUAAGUUUUUUGCAAAGAAAGAAGAUAUGAGGUCUUCUAUGCAACCAUCCACAUUUAUCAAAGCUGACGUGCAAUCACUAGGAUCUGCUGGUGGUGUAUUUCCUGGCUUGUGAUGGACUGCUGAUUGUGGAGGCGGAGAUGGCUGAGUUACUGGUGGGUGGUGAUGGUUGUUAUGGCCGCGGAGGUAAUGGCGGUGGUGGUGAUGGUGGUUGGCUAACACGCCAUUGAAACAUGUGAACAGGCAUAUAAGAAACAACAAAACCAAGAAUCUGCUUUUCGUCAUCAUCGAAAUUCUAUGCAAAUCCAUC
Molecule: long non-coding RNA, 627 nt
Filed under: Olea europaea subsp. europaea
Lineage: Eukaryota; Viridiplantae; Streptophyta; Magnoliopsida; Lamiales; Oleaceae
Source: RNAcentral